This 331-nucleotide ribosomal RNA is filed under the name uncultured Pseudomonadota bacterium. RNAcentral describes it as "bacterial SSU rRNA". It matches the Rfam family "Bacterial small subunit ribosomal RNA", at positions 568 to 898 of the family's 1533-position model. Lineage: Bacteria; Pseudomonadati; Pseudomonadota. The record is from RNAcentral.
CGCGUAGGCGGUCUGUUAAGUUCGGUGUGAAAGCCCCCGGCUCACCUGGGGAACUGCGCCGGAAACCGACAGACUCGAGUACCGGAGAGGAGGGUGGAAUUCCUGGUGUAGCGGUGAAAUGCGUAGAUAUCAGGAGGAACACCGGUGGCGAAGGCGGCCCUCUGGACGGAUACUGACGCUGAGGCGCGAAAGCGUGGGGAUCAAACAGGAUUAGAUACCCUGGUAGUCCACGCUGUAAACGAUGGGAGCUAGGUGUGGGAGGUAUUGACCCUUCCGUGCCGCCGCUAACGCAUUAAGCUCCCCGCCUGGGGAUUACGGCCGCAAGGUUAAA